UAGGGAAUCUUCCGCAAUGGGCGAAAGCCUGACGGAGCAACGCCGCGUGAGUGAUGAAGGGUUUCGGCUCGUAAAACUCUGUUAUUAGGGAAGAACAAAUGUGUAAGUAACUGUGCACAUCUUGACGGUACCUAAUCAGAAAGCCACGGCUAACUACGUGCCAGCAGCCGCGGUAAUACGUAGGUGGCAAGCGUUAUCCGGAAUUAUUGGGCGUAAAGCGCGCGUAGGCGGUUUCUUAAGUCUGAUGUGAAAGCCCACGGCUCAACCGUGGAGGGUCAUUGGAAACUGGGAAACUUGAGUGCAGAAGAGGAAAGUGGAAUUCCAUGUGUAGCGGUGAAAUGCGCAGAGAUAUGGAGGAACACCAGUGGCGAAGGCGACUUUCUGGUCUGUAACUGACGCUGAUGUGCGAAAGCGUGGGGAUCAAACAGGAUUAGAUACCCUGGUAGUCCACGCCGUAAAACGAUGAGUGCUAAGUGUUAGGGGGUUUCCGCCCCUUAGUGCUGCAGCUAACGCAUUAAGCACUCCGCCUGGGGAGUACGACCGCAAGGUUGAAACUUAAAUGAAUUGAC
Molecule: ribosomal RNA, 569 nt
Filed under: uncultured bacterium
Lineage: Bacteria
Description: partial 16S ribosomal RNA
Rfam family: Bacterial small subunit ribosomal RNA
Source: RNAcentral